This 619-nucleotide ribosomal RNA is filed under the name uncultured Flavobacteriales bacterium. Its description in RNAcentral is "bacterial SSU rRNA". It matches the Rfam family "Bacterial small subunit ribosomal RNA", at positions 99 to 716 of the family's 1533-position model. The record is from RNAcentral. Lineage: Bacteria; Pseudomonadati; Bacteroidota; Flavobacteriia; Flavobacteriales.
CGCACGGGUGCGUAACGCGUAUGCAAUCUGCCUUCCACAGAGGGAUAGCCCAGAGAAAUUUGGAUUAAUACCUCAUAGCAUUACAGGAUGGCAUCAUCCGGUAAUUAAAGUCACAACGGUGGAAGAUGAGCAUGCGUCCCAUUAGCUAGUUGGUAAGGUAACGGCUUACCAAGGCGACGAUGGGUAGGGGUCCUGAGAGGGAGAUCCCCCACACUGGUACUGAGACACGGACCAGACUCCUACGGGAGGCAGCAGUGAGGAAUAUUGGUCAAUGGGUGCAAGCCUGAACCAGCCAUGCCGCGUGCAGGAUGACGGUCCUAUGGAUUGUAAACUGCUUUUGUACGGGAAGAAACACUGAUUCGUGAAUCAGCCUGACGGUACCGUAAGAAUAAGGAUCGGCUAACUCCGUGCCAGCAGCCGCGGUAAUACGGAGGAUCCAAGCGUUAUCCGGAAUCAUUGGGUUUAAAGGGUCUGUAGGCGGUCUUGUAAGUCAGUGGCGAAAGCCCAUCGCUCAACGGUGGAACGGCCAUUGAUACUGCAGGACUUGAAUUACCGGGAAGUAACUAGAAUAUGUAGUGUAGCGGUGAAAUGCUUAGAUAUUACAUGGAAUACCAAUUGC